Molecule: ribosomal RNA, 813 nt
Filed under: Octospora cf. conidiophora B ZS-2019
Lineage: Eukaryota; Fungi; Ascomycota; Pezizomycetes; Pezizales; Pyronemataceae
Description: SSU rRNA
Rfam family: Eukaryotic small subunit ribosomal RNA
Source: RNAcentral
CUGCGAACGGCUCAUUAAAUCAGUUAUCGUUUAUUUGAUAGUACCUUACUACUUGGAUAACCGUGGUAAUUCUAGAGCUAAUACAUGCUAAAAAUCCCGACCUCUGGAAGGGAUGUAUUUAUUAGAUAAAAAACCAAUGCCCAUUUCGGGCUUCUUGGUGAUUCAUGAUAACUUUACGAAUCGCAUGGCCUUGUGCCGGCGAUGGUUCAUUCAAAUUUCUGCCCUAUCAACUUUCGAUGGUAGGAUAGUGGCCUACCAUGGUUUCAACGGGUAACGGGGAAUUAGGGUUCGAUUCCGGAGAGGGAGCCUGAGAAACGGCUACCACAUCCAAGGAAGGCAGCAGGCGCGCAAAUUACCCAAUCCCGACACGGGGAGGUAGUGACAAUAAAUACUGAUACAGGGCCUUUUUGGGUCUUGUAAUUGGAAUGAGUACAAUUUAAAUCCUUUAACGAGGAACAAUUGGAGGGCAAGUCUGGUGCCAGCAGCCGCGGUAAUUCCAGCUCCAAUAGCGUAUAUUAAAGUUGUUGCAGUUAAAAAGCUCGUAGUUGAACCUUGGGUCUGGGUGACCGGUCUGCGUCACCGCAUGUUACUGGAACCCCGGAUCUUUCCUUCUGGAGAACCGCAUGCCCUUUACUGGGUGUGCUGGGAAACCAGGACUUUUACUUUGAAAAAAUUAGAGUGUUCAAAGCAGGCAUGUGCUCGAAUACAUUAGCAUGGAAUAAUAGAAUAGGACGUGCGGUCCUAUUUUGUUGGUUUCUAGGACCGCCGUAAUGAUUAAUAGGGAUAGUCGGGGGCAUCCGUAUUCGAUUGUCA